This 28-nucleotide non-coding RNA is filed under the name Rattus norvegicus (Norway rat). The record is from RNAcentral. Lineage: Eukaryota; Metazoa; Chordata; Mammalia; Rodentia; Muridae.
UCACAACUUUUACUCCUGUUGAGUUGUA